GAGGGUAUACUGCUAUUCAUGCUAUUAAGGCACUAAACACUGUUGGACCUGGUAUUCAUCCCUGAUGGAUGUCAUUAUUAGCAGGCUGCCAGCUGGACUUUGCACCACCCAUCACAAUUCUUGGAGCCCAGCAGUCCAGUCAGUUUCCCACCCACAUUAUUGUUCUCGCAUCCAGCCUAUAUCUUACCAAUUUGGUGAUACUGAGACUAUGAAGACUGUGUCAAAGACCUUGUUAAAUUCAAGGACCAUAAAAGUUUUCUAAGAGGAUUUGAUCCAUCACCUUCCCAGGGGCUGAAGUGAGGCUGGCUGUCCUGUAGUUCCUGGAUCAUUAUCGAUGAAAACUGAAGCAAAAAAGGAAUUGAGGCUUUUCCCUGUUACCUGUCUGCCCUGCUUUCAGCUGGAAUAGAGUUAAUUUUCUUCUUC
Neopsephotus bourkii (Bourke's parrot) is the source of this 423-nucleotide long non-coding RNA. RefSeq lists it as uncharacterized. The transcript is spliced from 2 exons. The record is from RefSeq and is a predicted model, not a curated record. NCBI's taxonomy places the organism in Eukaryota, Metazoa, Chordata, Aves, Psittaciformes, Psittacidae.